This 327-nucleotide ribosomal RNA is filed under the name uncultured eukaryote. RNAcentral's name for it is "partial 18S ribosomal RNA". It matches the Rfam family "Eukaryotic small subunit ribosomal RNA", at positions 1470 to 1796 of the family's 1831-position model. The record is from RNAcentral.
CCCUUAGAUGUUCUGGGCCGCACGCGCGCUACACUGUUCGACGCAGCGAGUCUUAACCUUGACCGAAAGGUUUGGGUAAUCUUCAGCAAAGUCGAACGUGAUGGGGAUCGAUCAUUGCAAUUAUUGAUCGUGAACGAGGAAUUCCUAGUAAGUGCAAGUCAUCAGCUUGCGCUGAUUACGUCCCUGCCCUUUGUACACACCGCCCGUCGCUACUACCGAUUGAAUGGUUUAGUGAGAUCUCGGGAUUGGAGACGUUGCGCCGCAAGGCACAUCGUCCUCGAGAACUUGAUCAAACUUGAUCAUUUAGAGGAAGUAAAAGUCGUAACA